CUUUAUCUGUAGUGGGUUCUUCAGUGGUGGAUUCUCAUACUUCCCCUUGUUUGUGUUUGGAUGCUUUGCCCACAACCAGCAUCAAUCUCAAAAGUUGUGGGGAUUUUGUAAUGAAAAAGAAUUCAAUGGGUAGAAAGCGUUUGCCGAAACCAAAGCACUUGGAUCUAAGCAGCUCGUUCGUCGAUAAUGGCCGGGAGUGGCUGCUCUCGGCGGAUAUGAUAAAUAGG
RNAcentral lists this unclassified non-coding RNA (227 nucleotides) under Hevea brasiliensis (rubber tree). Lineage: Eukaryota; Viridiplantae; Streptophyta; Magnoliopsida; Malpighiales; Euphorbiaceae. The record is from RNAcentral.